GAUGAACGCUGGCGGCGUGCCUAAUACAUGCAAGUCGAGCGAACAGACGAGGAGCUUGCUCCUCUGACGUUAGCGGCGGACGGGUGAGUAACACGUGGAUAACCUACCUAUAAGACUGGGAUAACUUCGGGAAACCGGAGCUAAUACCGGAUAAUAUAUUGAACCGCAUGGUUCAAUAGUGAAAGACGGUUUUGCUGUCACUUAUAGAUGGAUCCGCGCCGCAUUAGCUAGUUGGUAAGGUAACGGCUUACCAAGGCGACGAUGCGUAGCCGACCUGAGAGGGUGGUCGGCCACCCUGGAACUGAGACACGGUCCAGACUCCUACGGGAGGCCGCAGUAGGGAAUCUUCCGCAAUUGGCGAAAGCCUGGCGGAGCAACGCCGCGUGAGUGAUGAAGGUCUUCGGAUCGUAAAACUCUGUUAUUAGGGAAGAACAAAUGUGUAAGUAACUAUGCACGUCUUGACGGUACCUAAUCAGAAAGCCACGGCUAACUACGUG
RNAcentral lists this ribosomal RNA (497 nucleotides) under uncultured bacterium. RNAcentral describes it as "partial 16S ribosomal RNA". It matches the Rfam family "Bacterial small subunit ribosomal RNA", at positions 28 to 507 of the family's 1533-position model. The record is from RNAcentral.